Molecule: long non-coding RNA, 569 nt
Filed under: Olea europaea subsp. europaea
Lineage: Eukaryota; Viridiplantae; Streptophyta; Magnoliopsida; Lamiales; Oleaceae
Source: RNAcentral
GUAAGUCUUUUGAAUUAUACAGAAGUUUAUAAACGAUUUAAAAUGAAAAUCUAUAGAAAUCUACUCGUCAUUAAUUCUAUAUAAAUCUAUGAAAAAUCCACAAAGUGACCUUCUAAAAAAAUCCAUUUAAAAUCCAAUUGAAUACACCCUCUCAAGCAAAACAAAGCAAAGAGUCCAACUUCAACACUUCCAAACGUAACCAAUCCAUUAAAAAUUCAAAAGAAAUUUUAAAAAACUGAGAAGGGGUGUGAUAGACUGUUAGUUACAUUUGAUUAAUAUUUGGGGCAUCACAAAAUGAUGAGCCGUCGUUGUUCCGUAAUUGCAAAGCAAUUGAAGCAACAGAGGCGGCCGCGGCCAUGACAAGCCAUGAGGAUUGAAAUGGUUUUUCCCCGUUUUCUGAGCCCACGAUGAGAGUUCUUGCUAGACUGGUGUUCUGCUUAUGUACUAAUAAAUUUUUUAAAUUGGAAUAUAUGGGUUUCGAAGAAGAACGCAGGCGAGAGAGCCAGGAAGAUAAAGCCAUGGCUGAAAAAAGGGAUAGCAGGAAAGCUUUGUUCAGAGGAGGAUAAAUG